RNAcentral lists this ribosomal RNA (252 nucleotides) under uncultured bacterium. Its description in RNAcentral is "partial 16S ribosomal RNA". It matches the Rfam family "Bacterial small subunit ribosomal RNA", at positions 524 to 776 of the family's 1533-position model. The record is from RNAcentral.
UACGUAGGGAGCAAGCGUUGUUCGGAUUUACUGGGCGUAAAGGCGCGUAGGCGGCCUGUCAAGUCAAUUGUGAAAUCUCCGGGCUUAACUCGGAACGGUCAAGUGAUACUGUCGGACUAGAGUACAGAAGGGGCAACUGGAAUUCUCGGUGUAGCGGUGAAAUGCGUAGAUAUCGAGAGGAACACCUGCGGCGAAGGCGGGUUGCUGGGCUGAUACUGACGCUGAGGCGCGAAAGCCAGGGGAGCGAACGGG